CAGAGAAUAGUUUAUUAAAAUAUUAAUUUUGGAGAUUAAUGAUAGAAAGAUUUUUCUUUCUCUGA
RNAcentral lists this transfer RNA (65 nucleotides) under Staphylinidae sp. BMNH 1274220. RNAcentral's name for it is "tRNA-Pro". The record is from RNAcentral. Lineage: Eukaryota; Metazoa; Arthropoda; Insecta; Coleoptera; Staphylinidae.